AUCAAAGGGUCCUGGUCAAAUAAGAGAGGCUCAGAGUUUGCCAAUCCUUACAGCCAUAAAAGCAUCCUCACAAACUGCUGCGCGGUGCUGUGCGGACCAUUCCAUCCCAGUUUGAUAGACAGAAGAGGGUUCAUCCAGCCGGAUGUGGGGACGCCAGCCAGUCCAAAGAGCGAAAUCCCGUCCUUUGGAGCCAAACCUGACACCAGCAUGGAGGAUGCCUGCCAGGACUUUGCUGUUUCCUGCACAGCCUGAUGGGACGUGCCCUCUCCUCUGCCCUUGGCCCUGCAUUCUGGGGGCUGGCUGUGUGCUCAGGGCAGCACGGAGCUCCGCAGGCCGGCGGCCCCUCUGCCCUUCUUGGUGCACCCUGGGGAAGCCAGGACCCCACGAACCUCCCGAUGACGACAGCCAUCAGCACCGCCUGUGCCUCUGCAGCGCUGUGCCUUCCUCCUUCCUGCUGGGAGAGAGGGGGGAGAGCAGCCGUGUGCAAGCCAAAGCCUUUCUGAGCCCCCCCACCCACAGCAGGGGCCAAAAAGCCAUACAGCAUCCCUCCCGAGUGCAAUACUGCGUUCCUCCUGCCUCCCCCUCACCGUGGGGACGGGCCAUAUACUGAGCCAGGGCUCCCAGCACCCAGCCCUACCUGGGGGUUCCUCCUGGGGGGGGUUGGGUUUGAGCCAGCAGCGCGUUGCCCACUGCAUCCCACUCGACCCUGUAGGAUGGUGCAUGGUCAACGCUCACCCUCCUCAUGAGCUCCCCACCCCCCGCUCCAUCACUAUGGGGCUCUGAUGGAGGGGAUGGGUCCCCUCCCCCUGUGCAAAGGGCUUCAAGCCUGGUAGGAUUCUGCCUUUUACUUUUGUAACAAAAUAAAGAUUUUCCCAUUUCCUGUCUGUCUCUGUGGUGCUGGGCUCCAUCCCACAUCCCUCGCUGCAGCUGUGUGAGUUUAGGGCCAUCUGUGGGUGCUCUGAGUGUGAUGGGUGGCCAUGCUCCCCCCCAGCAGGCCACAGAGCUGGGGCUCGUCCCCUCACCCCCCCUCCCUGCCCCCCAACUUGCACCAAAACCGGUAGAACAGAAUAUUUCUGCAGCUCCUGCUCUGCUCAUUGCCACCAUUUGGCAGCAGCUCGGUGCUUCUGGCAGCACCUGAACUCUCAAGCUCCACGCUGUGCCCUGGGGGGGACCUGCCCCCAUACUCUCCGUAUGGGGGGGGGGGGUUGCUACCAUUUUGGGAUGAGAUGGGGCAGAAGUGCAUUCUAUUCAAAACCAUAGCCCCUUGCAUCCGUGAGGUCAGGCAGUGCACACGUGGGCUCCACUUUGGGCCCCAAAACCCCAUAGCCCCCACCGCUCGGCUGGAUGGGGACUGGGAUAGCACAAAGUUGGGACCGGCAGCUCCCAGCCCUGAGCAACCCCAGCAGGGACUGAGUGGAAGGGAUGGGGCUGAGGGUGCUGGCACAGUGCUGGUGAAGCCCUUGGCCCCAUCCCCACGUGCUGCCUGCCCGCCGCACCCUGCCCUGUGCCGGCGUGUGGGAACAGGCUGAGAGCGAAACUGCAGCGCAACGCUGAGCGCAGAUCCUAAUCGGGGCCGCCAGCGCUCCUGGGC
Long non-coding RNA from Meleagris gallopavo (turkey), 1591 nucleotides. The record is from Ensembl. NCBI's taxonomy places the organism in Eukaryota, Metazoa, Chordata, Aves, Galliformes, Phasianidae.